Molecule: long non-coding RNA, 325 nt
Filed under: Ananas comosus (pineapple)
Lineage: Eukaryota; Viridiplantae; Streptophyta; Magnoliopsida; Poales; Bromeliaceae
Description: long non-coding RNA (ACOM_LNC024484)
Source: RNAcentral
AUUUUAAAUUCAAUUUUAUAAAGAUUUAUUAUUUAUCAAAUUAGCCACUAUCUAACUUGGUAAGUAACAAAAUUAAAUAAGGAAACAAAUAUUUGUGCAAGGUCAAUCAAAUUUGGUAAUUAGCUUGUAUUUAUUUUUCAAUAUUACCCUUAUACUAUUAAUCUUCAAUGGUAAUCUGUUGAGCAGAUAAUUAUUAUGUAAAAGUCAAUUUUGUUCUUAAAAUAUAAAUGACUAGAUUUAAUUGAGUCGGUGUAUUGAACUCAAAUAAAAAAUAAACUUAAGUAUAAUUUUUUAUGCUACAGAAGAAUAUAGUGAAAAUAAGUUA